CUUCCGUAGGUGAACCUGCGGAAGGAUCAUUAAUGAAUUCAGAACCAGGGCGGCGCAAGCUUAGCUCGAAUCAUCGGCUUCACAGCUGAUGAUAGUUCUAUCAUAUCCAUAACACCUGUGCACUGUUGGAUGCUUGCAUCCACUUUUAAACUAAACAUUAUUGUAACAAAUGUAGUCUUAUUAUAACAUAAUAAAACUUUCAACAACGGAUCUCUUGGCUCUCGCAUCGAUGAAGAACGCAGCGAAAUGCGAUAAGUAAUGUGAAUUGCAGAAUUCAGUGAAUCAUCGAAUCUUUGAACGCACCUUGCGCUCCUUGGUAUUCCGAGGAGCAUGCCUGUUUGAGUGUCAUGAAACCCUCAAACCCAAGUUUUGGAUUUCGAUCCAUGCUUGAGUUUGGAUUUGGAUGUUUGCCGGUGAUGAACCGACUCAUCUUAAAAGUAUUAGCUUGGAUCUGUCUAUAUGACUGGUUUGACUUGGCAUAAUAAGUAUUUUGCUGAGGACAUCUUCGGAUGGCCAGGACCUAGACUACUGUCUGCUAACUAAACCAUCACUUUAAGUGCAUCUUUGGAUGUUACUCAUUGUGUAACUUUGACAUCUGGCCUCAAAUCAAGUAGGACUACCCGCUGAACUUAAGCAUAUCAAUAAGCGGAGGAA
RNAcentral lists this ribosomal RNA (654 nucleotides) under Filobasidium magnum. RNAcentral's name for it is "eukaryotic LSU rRNA". The stretch from base 195 to 348 matches the Rfam family "5.8S ribosomal RNA". Lineage: Eukaryota; Fungi; Basidiomycota; Tremellomycetes; Filobasidiales; Filobasidiaceae. The record is from RNAcentral.